This 782-nucleotide unclassified non-coding RNA is filed under the name Hevea brasiliensis (rubber tree). The record is from RNAcentral. Lineage: Eukaryota; Viridiplantae; Streptophyta; Magnoliopsida; Malpighiales; Euphorbiaceae.
AGGUGAAAUGGAUCAGAGUAUUGUACUCUGAGUUUUCCAAGUUCUCCAGGGACCAAGAACAUUUAAUGUCAUCUGAGAAUUCUUUCGACUAUAUUGAAGGAUUUGUAAUUAUAAAUAGAACUAGUUUCCAUGACAAGCAUAAGCAAGAUAGAUAAUUAGUAUACCAUUUGAUAUUGCUGUCGCUCAUGUUGAAAAUUUGAAGUAUGCAAAUGUUGCAAAAAGGACUUAUGGCAUUAAUCUCACAGUAGGUGAUUUUAAGCGUGUCAUACAGAGAGCUAUCUGUAUCUAAUUUCUGUCAUUUCAUUGGGCAAAGAGGAAACGACUAUUUGUUUAUAUUACAAACAAGAAAAACAAAAUUAAAUAAGAAAACAGUAAUACCAAUCCUAAAAAGUUCUUUUAAUGCUAGAAACAGGACAGAGUAAUAUAGACAAUGCACCCACCUUGAUCAGAAGUACAGAACAGAGUGAAAGAAUAAAAUCACUAAGAUGAUAAUGGAUGAUAAGUUGUUCUUGCCUUUACAAUGUGCUGAUAUAUGACAUGAUACCAAAGAGGAUGCUAAUAUUAGCCACUGCAAAAUCUUACUAUUUUCUAACCAUCUGCUUAUAUUACUACCUAUCUCACUGAUUUUCCUUCUCAAGUUCUAUAUUUCCUAGCAGCUAUUGACCGAAGGGAACAUUCUUCACAUGCUAACCACCAAAUAUACAGAACAAGAUGGAUGAAGGUCAUCUAUCAUGUCUCAAACUAGAUAUCCAAAAGAAAAAAAAAAUGUCAAUUUUCAAAUG